This 486-nucleotide ribosomal RNA is filed under the name uncultured bacterium. Its description in RNAcentral is "partial 16S ribosomal RNA". It matches the Rfam family "Bacterial small subunit ribosomal RNA", at positions 28 to 507 of the family's 1533-position model. The record is from RNAcentral.
GAUGAACGCUAGCGGCAGGCUUAACACAUGCAAGUCGAGGGGCAGCGCGGGAUAGCAAUAUCCUGGCGGCGACCGGCGGAAGGGUGCGUAACGCGUGAGCGACAUGCCCGUUGCCCGGGGACAACCGGUGGAAACGCCGACUAAUCCCCGAUGGGAUAUUGUGCCGCAUGGCACGAUAUUGAAAGUUACGGCGGCGACGGAUUGGCUCGCGUCCGAUUAGCUUGUUGGCGGGGUAACGGCCCACCAAGGCUGCGAUCGGUAGGGGUUCUGAGAGGAAGGCCCCCCACAAUGGGACUGAGACACGGCCCAUACUCCUACGGGAGGCAGCAGUGAGGAAUAUUGGUCAAUGGGCGGAAGCCUGAACCAGCCAUGCCGCGUGCGGGAAGGAGGCCCUCUGGGCUGUGAACCGCUUUUGCCUGGGGGCAAUAAGGGCGUCGCGCACGUCCGAUGAGAGUACCAGGCGAAUAAGCAUCGGCUAACUCCGUG